GCGGGAGAACCCAGGGCCCCAAAACCUGAAGGGUGGCUGCGCAGGACUCGUCCCGCGAGGGGCAGGCAGGACCUAAGGUGAGGCAGAAAGGCGUAAUGGAUGGCAAGGAGGUUUAUAGUCCCUAACUAGGCAAGGCUUAGUGCUGAUGGACGAACAAAUAAGACUCGGCACAAUGGCCUUCCUUGGCAGGAAGGAACAACCCAUUGUUGUUUGAUGGUAUUUUUUCCAAGAAAAGCUCAUUCGACUUUGAGUCUAGAUUACCUGUACCGUAAACCGACACAGGUGAGUGGGUUGAAUAAACUAAGGGGAGCGAGAUAACUCUCUCUAAGGAACUCGGCAAAUUGGCUCUGUACCUUCGGAAGAAAGAGUGCCCCUCAGGGGGCCGCAGUGAAGAGAUCCAGGCGACUGUUUACCAAAAACACAGGUCUCCGCAAAGUCGUAAGACGACGUAUGGGGGCUGACACCUGCCCAGUGCCAGAAGGUUAAAGAAGUUGGUUAGCAUUAGCGAAGCUGAUAACUGAAGCCCCGGUGAACGGCGGCCGUAACUAUAACGGUCCUAAGGUAGCGAAAUUCCUUGUCGGGUAAGUUCCGACCCGCACGAAAGGUGUAACGAUCUGGAUACUGUCUCAGAGAGAGACUCGGUGAAAUAAAACUAUCUGUGAAGAUGCGGAUUACCUGCACACGGACAGAAAGACCCUAUGAAGCUUUACUGUAACCUGGAAUUGCUCUCAAGCUUAUUUUGCGCAGCUUAGGUGGGAGGCUAUGAACCUUUUCUUCUGGGAAGAGGGGAGCCAUCAGUGAGAUACCACUCUUGGUAAGCUAGAGCGCUCAGUCUUCACCGUCAUCCGGUAAGACGACAGUUUCAGGCGGGCAGUUUGACUGGGGCAGUCACCUCCCAAAAGGUAAUGGAGGUGUGCAAAGGUUCCCUCAGGCUGGACGGAAAUCAGCCAUAGAGUGUAAAAGCAUAAGGGAGCUUGACUGCGAGACUGACAUGUCAAGCAGAGACGAAAGUCGGCUUUAGUGAUCCGACGGUGCUGUGUGGAAAGGCCGUCGCUCAACGGAUAAAAGUUACUCUAGGGAUAACAGGCUAAUCUCCCCCAAGAGUUCACAUCGACGGGGAGGUUUGGCACCUCGAUGUCGGCUCGUCGCAUCCUGGAGCGGAAGUACGUUCCAAGGGUUGGGCUGUUCGCCCAUAGAAAGCGGCACGCGAGCUGGGUUCAGAACGUCGUGAGACAGUUUGGUCCAUAUCCUGUGUAGGCGUUUAGAGCAUUGAAAGGAUCUCCCCUUUGUACGAGAGGACCAGGUGGGGACAGACCGCUAGUGUACCAGUUAUCCCGCCAGGGGUAAACGCUGGGUAGCUAUGUCUGGAGUAAAUAACUGCUGAAAGCAUAUAAGUAGGAAGUUCACCUUAAGAUGAGUGCUCUUUUGUCUCAACCGUUCAGUUUUACUGGCAAAUGAAAGACAAGGAAGGUCACGGCAAGACGAGCCGUUUGAUAGGCAUGAAGUAGAAGUGCAGUAAUGCAUUCUGAAGCUGACAUGUGCUAAUAGACCGAGGGAUUUGAUUUU
Molecule: ribosomal RNA, 1566 nt
Filed under: marine metagenome
Description: bacterial LSU rRNA
Rfam family: Bacterial large subunit ribosomal RNA
Source: RNAcentral